CCUACGGGGGGCAGCAGUCGAGAAUCAUUCACAAUGGGGGAAACCCUGAUGGUGCGACGCCGCGUGCGGGAUGAAGGCCCUACGGGUCGUAAACCGCUUUUGCACGGGGAUAACACCCUCCACUUGUGGAGGUCUGCAGGUACCGUGCGAAUAAGGGCCGGCUAAUUCCGUGCCAGCAGCCGCGGUAAUACGGAAGGCCCGAGCGUUAUCCGGAUUCAUUGGGCUUAAAGGGAGCGUAGGCGGGCGUUCAAGUCAGCUGUAAAAUCGCGCGGCUCAACCGCGCCCCGCAGUUGAAACUGGAAGCCUUGAGUUCACAACAGGCAGGCGGAAUUCGUGGUGUAGCGGUGAAAUGCAUAGAUAUCACGAGGAACCCCGAUUGCGAAGGCAGCCUGCCGGGGUGCGACUGACGCUGAGGCUCGAAGGUGCGGGUAUCAAACAGGAUUAGAUACCCCAGUAGUC
This 459-nucleotide ribosomal RNA is filed under the name uncultured bacterium. RNAcentral describes it as "partial 16S ribosomal RNA". It matches the Rfam family "Bacterial small subunit ribosomal RNA", at positions 338 to 795 of the family's 1533-position model. The record is from RNAcentral.